CCUACGGGUGGCAGCAGUCGAGAAUAAUUCACAAUGGGGGCAACCCUGAUGGUGCAACGCCGCGUGGAGGAUGAAGGUCCUCGGAUUGUAAACUCCUGUCAUCCGGGAGUAAGACCUGACGGUGAAUAGCCGGCAGGGUUGACAGUACCGGAAGAGGAAGGGACGGCUAACUUCGUGCCAGCAGCCGCGGUAAUACGAAGGUCCCGAGCGUUGUUCGGAAUCACUGGGCGUAAAGGGAGCGUAGGCGGCACGGCAAGUCAGAUGUGAAAUCCCGGGGCUCAACCCCGGAACCGCAUCCGAUACUGCCGUGCUUGAGUUUUGGAGAGGUAGCCGGAAUUCACGGUGUAGCAGUGAAAUGCGUGGAUAUCGUGAGGAACACUCGUGGCGAAAGCGGGCUACUGGACAACAACUGACGCUGAGGCUCGAAGGCCGGGGGAGCGAAAGGGAUUAGAUACCCCGGUAGUC
RNAcentral lists this ribosomal RNA (465 nucleotides) under uncultured bacterium. Its description in RNAcentral is "bacterial SSU rRNA". It matches the Rfam family "Bacterial small subunit ribosomal RNA", at positions 338 to 795 of the family's 1533-position model. The record is from RNAcentral.